This 934-nucleotide non-coding RNA is filed under the name Cetopsis coecutiens. RNAcentral describes it as "partial 12S ribosomal RNA". It matches the Rfam family "Bacterial small subunit ribosomal RNA". The record is from RNAcentral. Lineage: Eukaryota; Metazoa; Chordata; Actinopteri; Siluriformes; Cetopsidae.
CUUUACUAUCAACUAUGGCCCAAUUUAUACAUGCAAGUCUCCGCACCCCUGUGAGAAUGCCCUCAAUCCUCUGCCCGAAGAUGAGGAGCAGGCAUCAGGCACAUAUAUCCCGCCCAAGACGCCUUGCUAUGCCACACCCCCAAGGGAACUCAGCAGUAAUAGACAUUAAGCAAUAAGUGAAAACUUGACUUAGUUAAGGCCAACAGGGUCGGUAAAAUUCGUGCCAGCCACCGCGGUUAUACGAAAGACCCCAGCUGAUACAUGCGGCGUAAAGGGUGGUUAAGGAAAAUUAAUAAUAAAGCUAAAGACUCCCUAAGCUGUUAUACGCACCCCGAGAGCACGAAAUCCAAACACGAAAGUAGCUUUAACUAUAAAUAACCUGACCCCACGAAAGCUAAGAAACAAACUGGGAUUAGAUACCCCACUAUGCUUAGCCAUAAACCCAGAUGCAAUUAUUACACAUACAUCCGCCAGGGUACUACGAGCAUAGCUUGAAACCCAAAGGACUUGGCGGUAUCUCAGACCCACCUAGAGGAGCCUGUUCUAUAACCGAUAACCCCCGUUAAACCUCACCACUUCUUGUCCACUCCCGCCUAUAUACCGCCGUCGUCAGUUUACCCUGUAAAGGACUAAUAGUAAACAAAAUGGGCUCACCCAAAAACGUCAGGUCGAGGUGUAGCGAAUGAAGUGGGAAGAAAUGGGCUACAUUUUCUACAUCAGAAUAAUACGAACGGCACCCUGAAAUAUAGUGCCCAAAGGUGGAUUUAGUAGUAAAAAGUAAAUAGAGCGUAUUUUUGAAUUAGGCUCUGAGACGCGCACACACCGCCCGUCACUCUCCCCACAUAAAAAUAAACGAAUAAAUAAUAACCUACAAUAAGCCCGGGGAGGCAAGUCGUAACAUGGUAAGUGUACCGGAAGGUGCACUUGGAUCAAC